This 789-nucleotide ribosomal RNA is filed under the name uncultured Staphylococcus sp. RNAcentral's name for it is "bacterial SSU rRNA". It matches the Rfam family "Bacterial small subunit ribosomal RNA", at positions 131 to 906 of the family's 1533-position model. Lineage: Bacteria; Bacillati; Bacillota; Bacilli; Caryophanales; Staphylococcaceae. The record is from RNAcentral.
UAUAAGACUGGGAUAACUUCGGGAAACCGUAGCUAAUGCCGGAUAACAUUUGGAACCGCAUGGUUCUAAAGUAAAAGAUGGUUUUGCUAUCACUUAUAGAUGGACCCGCGCCGUAUUAGCUAGUUGGUAAGGUAACGGCUUACCAAGGCAACGAUACGUAGCCGACCUGAGAGGGUGAUCGGCCACACUGGAACUGAGACACGGUCCAGACUCCUACGGGAGGCAGCAGUAGGGAAUCUUCCGCAAUGGACGAAAGUCUGACGGAGCAACGCCGCGUGAGUGAUGAAGGUUUUCGGAUCGUAAAACUCUGUUAUUAGGGAAGAACAAAUGUGUAAGUAACUGUGCACAUCUUGACGGUACCUAAUCAGAAAGCCACGGCUAACUACGUGCCAGCAGCCGCGGUAAUACGUAGGUGGCAAGCGUUAUCCGGAAUUAUUGGGCGUAAAGCGCGCGUAGGCGGUUUCUUAAGUCUGAUGUGAAAGCCCACGGCUCAACCGUGGAGGGUCAUUGGAAACUGGGAAACUUGAGUACAGAAGAGGAAAGUGGAAUUCCAUGUGUAGCGGUGAAAUGCGCAGAGAUAUGGAGGAACACCAGUGGCGAAGGCGACUUUCUGGUCUGUAACUGACGCUGAUGUGCGAAAGCGUGGGGAUCAAACAGGAUUAGAUACCCUGGUAGUCCACGCCGUAAACGAUGAGUGCUAAGUGUUAGGGGGUUUCCGCCCCUUAGUGCUGCAGCUAACGCAUUAAGCACUCCGCCUGGGGAGUACGACCGCAAGGUUGAAACUCAAAG